AGUGAACGCUGGCGGUAGGCCUAACACAUGCAAGUCGAACGGCAGCACAGUAAGAGCUUGCUCUUACGGGUGGCGAGUGGCGGACGGUGAGGAAUACAUCGGAAUCUACUUUUUCGUGGGGGAUAACGUAGGGAAACUUACGCUAAUACCGCAUACGACCUACGGGUGAAAGCAGGGGAUCUUCGGACCUUGCGCGAUUGAAUGAGCCGAUGUCGGAUUAGCUAGUUGGCGGGGUAAAGGCCCACCAAGGCGACGAUCCGUAGCUGGUCUGAGAGGAUGAUCAGCCACACUGGAACUGAGACACGGUCCAGACUCCUACGGGAGGCAGCAGUGGGGAAUAUUGGACAAUGGGCGCAAGCCUGAUCCAGCCAUACCGCGUGGGUGAAGAAGGCCUUCGGGUUGUAAAGCCCUUUUGUUGGGAAAGAAAAGCAGCAGGUUAAUACCCCGCUGUUCUGACGGUACCCAAAGAAUAAGCACCGGCUAACUUCGUG
RNAcentral lists this ribosomal RNA (491 nucleotides) under uncultured bacterium. RNAcentral describes it as "partial 16S ribosomal RNA". It matches the Rfam family "Bacterial small subunit ribosomal RNA", at positions 29 to 507 of the family's 1533-position model. The record is from RNAcentral.